GGUUAAGUUAGAAAGGGCGCACGGUGGAUGCCUUGGCACUAGGAGCCGAUGAAGGACGGGACGAACACCGAUAUGCUUCGGGGAGCUGUAAGCAAGCUUUGAUCCGGAGAUUUCCGAAUGGGGAAACCCACCACUCGUAAUGGAGUGGUAUCCAUAUCUGAAUACAUAGGAUAUGAGAAGGCAGACCCGGGGAACUGAAACAUCUAAGUACCCGGAGGAAGAGAAAGCAAAUGCGAUUCCCUGAGUAGCGGCGAGCGAAACGGGACCAGCCCAAACCAAGAGGCUUGCCUCUUGGGGUUGUAGGACACUCUGUACGGAGUUACAAAGGAACGAGGUAGAUGAAGAGGUCUGGAAAGGCCCGCCAUAGGAGGUAACAGCCCUGUAGUCAAAACUUCGUUCUCUCCUGAGUGGAUCCUGAGUACGGCGGAACACGUGAAAUUCCGUCGGAAUCCGGGAGGACCAUCUCCCAAGGCUAAAUACUCCCUAGUGACCGAUAGUGAACCAGUACCGUGAGGGAAAGGUGAAAAGCACCCCGGAAGGGGAGUGAAAGAGAUCCUGAAACCGUGUGCCUACAAGUAGUCAGAGCCCGUUAACGGGUGAUGGCGUGCCUUUUGUAGAAUGAACCGGCGAGUUACGAUCCCGUGCAAGGUUAAGCAGAAGAUGCGGAGCCGCAGCGAAAGCGAGUCUGAAUAGGGCGAAUUGAGUACGUGGUCGUAGACCCGAAACCAGGUGAUCUACCCAUGUCCAGGGUGAAGUUCAGGUAACACUGAAUGGAGGCCCGAACCCACGCACGUUGAAAAGUGCGGGGAUGAGGUGUGGGUAGGGGUGAAAUGCCAAUCGAACCUGGAGAUAGCUGGUUCUCUCCGAAAUAGCUUUAGGGCUAGCCUCAAGGUAAGAGUCUCGGAGGUAGAGCACUGAUUGGACUAGGGGCCCCUACCGGGUUACCGAAUUCAGUCAAACUCCGAAUGCCGAUGACUUAUCCUUGGGAGUCAGACUGCGAGUGAUAAGAUCCGUAGUCGAAAGGGAAACAGCCCAGACCGCCAGCUAAGGUCCCAAAGUAUACGUUAAGUGGAAAAGGAUGUGGAGUUGCUUAGACAACCAGGAUGUUGGCUUAGAAGCAGCCACCAUUUAAAGAGUGCGUAAUAGCUCACUGGUCGAGUGACUCUGCGCCGAAAAUGUACCGGGGCUAAACGUAUCACCGAAGCUGCGGACUGUUCUUCGAACAGUGGUAGGAGAGCGUUCUAAGGGCUGUGAAGCAAGACCGGAAGGACUUGUGGAGCGCUUAGAAGUGAGAAUGCCGGUAUGAGUAGCGAAAGAGGGUGAGAAUCCCCUCCACCGAAUGCCUAAGGUUUCCUGAGGAAGGCUCGUCCGCUCAGGGUUAGUCGGGACCUAAGCCGAGGCCGAAAGGCGUAGGCGAUGGAUAACAGGUUGAUAUUCCUGUACCACCUCCUCACCAUUUGAGCAAUGGGGGGACGCAGGAGGAUAGGGUAAGCGCGGUAUUGGAUAUCCGCGUCCAAGCAGUUAGGCUGGGAAAUAGGCAAAUCCGUUUCCCGUGAAGGCUGAGCUGUGAUGGCGAGCGAAUUAUAGUAGCGAAGUUCCUGAUUCCACACUGCCAAGAAAAGCCUCUAGCGAGGUGAGAGGUGCCCGUACCGCAAACCGACACAGGUAGGCGAGGAGAGAAUCCUAAGGUGAUCGAGAGAACUCUCGUUAAGGAACUCGGCAAAAUGACCCCGUAACUUCGGGAGAAGGGGUGCUCUGUUAGGGUGCAAGCCCGAGAGAGCCGCAGUGAAUAGGCCCAGGCGACUGUUUAGCAAAAACACAGGUCUCUGCGAAGCCGUAAGGCGAAGUAUAGGGGCUGACGCCUGCCCGGUGCUGGAAGGUUAAGAGGAGCGCUUAGCGUAAGCGAAGGUGCGAAUUGAAGCCCCAGUAAACGGCGGCCGUAACUAUAACGGUCCUAAGGUAGCGAAAUUCCUUGUCGGGUAAGUUCCGACCCGCACGAAAGGCGCAACGAUCUGGGCACUGUCUCAACGAGAGACUCGGUGAAAUUAUAGUACCUGUGAAGAUGCAGGUUACCCGCGACAGGACGGAAAGACCCCGUGGAGCUUUACUGCAGCCUGAUAUUGAAUGUUGGUACAGCUUGUACAGGAUAGGUAGGAGCCUUGGAAACCGGAGCGCCAGCUUCGGUGGAGGCAUCGGUGGGAUACUACCCUGGCUGUAUUGACCUUCUAACCCGCCGCCCUUAUCGGGCGGGGAGACAGUGUCAGGUGGGCAGUUUGACUGGGGCGGUCGCCUCCUAAAAGGUAACGGAGGCGCCCAAAGGUUCCCUCAGAAUGGUUGGAAAUCAUUCGCAGAGUGUAAAGGCACAAGGGAGCUUGACUGCGAGACCUACAAGUCGAGCAGGGACGAAAGUCGGGCUUAGUGAUCCGGUGGUUCCGCAUGGAAGGGCCAUCGCUCAACGGAUAAAAGCUACCCCGGGGAUAACAGGCUUAUCUCCCCAAGAGUCCACAUCGACGGGGAGGUUUGGCACCUCGAUGUCGGCUCAUCGCAUCCUGGGGCUGUAGUCGGUCCCAAGGGUUGGGCUGUUCGCCCAUUAAAGCGGUACGCGAGCUGGGUUCAGAACGUCGUGAGACAGUUCGGUCCCUAUCCGUCGCGGGCGCAGGAAAUUUGAGAGGAGCUGUCCUUAGUACGAGAGGACCGGGAUGGACGCACCGCUGGUGUACCAGUUGUUCUGCCAAGGGCAUCGCUGGGUAGCUAUGUGCGGACGGGAUAAGUGCUGAAAGCAUCUAAGCAUGAAGCCCCCCUCAAGAUGAGAUUUCCCAUUCCGCAAGGAAGUAAGAUCCCUGAAAGAUGAUCAGGUUGAUAGGUCUGAGGUGGAAGUGUGGCGACACAUGGAGCUGACAGAUACUAAUCGAUCGAGGACUUAACCAA
This 2928-nucleotide ribosomal RNA is filed under the name Bacillus velezensis. Its description in RNAcentral is "23S ribosomal RNA". It matches the Rfam family "Bacterial large subunit ribosomal RNA". The record is from RNAcentral. Lineage: Bacteria; Bacillati; Bacillota; Bacilli; Caryophanales; Bacillaceae.